This is a long non-coding RNA of Corapipo altera (White-ruffed manakin), 2857 nucleotides long. RefSeq lists it as uncharacterized. The record is from RefSeq and is a predicted model, not a curated record. Lineage: Eukaryota; Metazoa; Chordata; Aves; Passeriformes; Pipridae. The transcript has 2 exons.
UCACUUCAGUGACCAUGAUGAAUUCCCCCCCAGCCUUCUCUUCUCCAAGGAGAGAACACCUAAUUCCUUCAGUGCUUCCUCCAGCCCUUUGAUCAUCUUCCUGGCCUUCCUUUGGACCCUCUCUUGUCUUUCUGCUUCUUUCUUGAACUGUGGGGACACGAGCUGGACACGGUGCUCCAGGUUCCUUCCACAGGCUCUAGUGGAAGGUGUCCCUGCCUAUGGCAGGGGGUUGGAACCAGAUGGUCUUUAAGGUCCCUUCCAACCCAAACCAGUCUCUGACUGGAGGUGCAGCGUGACAGGUGAUGAGUAGGAUGGGAAGAUCCCACUCUGUCCCCACAGAUGCAGCCCAAGACCCCAUCUGCCUUUUAGCCACAGCAGGCACUGCUGACUCAUGAUCACUCCUUGUCCACCAACAUAUUUUGACCUAUACAUUUCUGCUUUAGCAGAGAUAUGAUUCACUGGAAUAAAAUUAUAUCCACUGAGUUUUUCCUCACUUGCAGAGGAGAUUAUUUUUAGGAACUCCCAACAUUUCGCUUACAGAGAAGGAACUAGUAGUGUAAAAUUUCUUUAAUUUCUCCCCGAAAGUCAAAGAAAUACAGCAUGUUUGCCUAUUCACUUGCUCCAUCCUUUGGCAGCAAGGGAUAAACUUAAAAGGCCUGGGUUUUUUUCAGGCUCUUGCUAUCAUAAAAGCACCAGUUUUCUGAGAUAGAACAACCUCUUUGAAGAUAUGGUAUUUACUGUUUUCUGAUGGUAUUAAUUGCAAAACCUGUAAGCUCACAUGAGCUUACUAGACACAGCCAGACACACGCUACUAGGAGGAAUCUUUUUUUAUUUUUUUUAGUUGAGGCAUAUCUUAGCCAUGUUUCCAUGACCAGUGGCCACACAGGCAUUUUUAAAAUAACCUCUGAUGUGUUCAGGUAUUCACUUUUUCUUGCUAGCCAGACUUCAGACAAUCACAGGAGUCUCUUGUUACUCUCAAGAAAAUGAAAAGAUGUUUGUAGAGGAAAAAAGUAAAGCAGGGGACACAUUUUAAAUCAUAUUGAAGUGUCAUGGUGGAGAGUCCUAGGCAUCAAAUUUGCCUGUUUUCCUUAGGAGAAAAAUAUUCCAUGGCUGCAGUACCCCAGUACCAGAAAGAAUAUCCUACAGAAAUGGUGUAAUAUGCACUUCCAGGAGUUGAUACGAUGGAUAUGGAAUGGAGGCCUCUCUCCCACAGGCAGUGACUUUACAAGCAGUGUGAGAAGCACUGGCCUGACACAGAGUCAGCAGAUUUGUAGAGGAAUUGAGGUGUAAUUUCAGUGUACUGUACAAAAUGAGUUUUCUGAGGGGUGGUGGAGUCCAGGGAAGUGUUGUUACAGCUGACACCUGGUACAAAAGACAGACUUAAGUUGUAGGAAAAGCAGUUCUGUAUUCAAGACGUAAGGGAUCCUGAUUGGAGUCUUGCACCUGCCCUUUAUGGAUGUCUGCAGAAGCAAAAUAUGUAUUUGCCAGAAUGUAUAAAAGAAAUUUGUCAUGGACCAAAAAGGAAAGAGAAGAACAGGUAUCAGGGAAAGUCUCAGUUGAUGCUUUGCAGUGUCAAGGAAUUGCACACUAGAAAGGCAGAAUUUUGCUGAGUUUUAGGGUGGCUAUGCUGUGAAGAAAAAAGCUUGUAGAGAAAGCAAUUUGCAUUUGGAAAAGAGAUUAUUUUACAGAUAUUGGUUCAAGUUCAUAGUCAUUCCCUGAAUAGCAUCUGGUGUAUUAUCUCAAUAGAUCUUGUUAUCUCCCAUAGAAAUGAGCCAAGAAAAGUAUCUGUAGUAAGAUUUGAAAAUAACCUUUGUUAUUAUAUGUCAUUAACUCACAAGAAUCAAAAUACAUGGCCACCAAUGACAAUGACUAAGAACAAUACAGUUUCUUGAGCAGUCUGUUCCAUGCAUUUCCAGUCUCUAGAAUAAUAAUAAUAAAAUAAUAAAAUACAGCAAUUUUAUGAGCAUUUAUCAUUUGCCUGGGCUGUGCAGCUAAUGAGACAGAAAAAGCAUGAAGAAUUUGUAUGGAUGAACUCCAUUUACCCAAUUUCCAACUCAAACAUAAUGAUAGGAAAAAUAAGCAAUGCAUAAAGCUGUGUAUCGGGUUUUUUGCUUUUUACAGUUCCUGUCUUGCAGCAGCCUGGGCUGAGUCAUUAUGGCACACAACAGGUAUGUGCUCCUGUCAGCAGCAACCAUCAGCCUUGUGACAUUUCCACUGCUUCCAGCUGCUGGGGGGCCAUAGCAGGAAGAUGUCAGAUCCUCUUCUCAGUCACAAAGGAAAGGAGGCAGUAAAAAAGAUGUCUCUUACAUCAUUUAUUUGAUUACCUUCUCCAUUUGUCAAAGCAGUGCAGCACAAAGCCCCGCGUGGAUUUUUGGGAAGCUCUCUGGAAUCUGCUGGGCUGUAAGCACGCAUUUCAAACCCCAGUAAACAAGGAUGGCUUCGUGUCUUUAGCAUGUGUUUUGCUGAGUCACAGGGCAGCAGGAAUUCCUGCAUUUAAGGUGGUGCAAAUGUCUUUGCCAGAAAGCCAAAUUUUCAGUUGCGUUUCUUUAACUUACGUUUGAGAGAAAGUAAAUAAAACCUCGGAGGCUGGUUCAAAAAAAAAGUCAUGCAUUCAGUUUGGAGUUAUCUGCCUUGACAUUGCUCAGCCCUAGAAAUAACAUUCACUUUUUGGCAGAACUCUCUGACGCAGCACAACACCAAGUCACGUUCCUACUUGGAGCAUUAGGAGACCAGACAUCUGUUACCUUGUUUGGGUUUUUUUUUUUCAGAUAAAGACACAAAAAGCAACGCUGACAAAAUGUAUUAACACGGGAUAAUCUCAGUGUUCCCUUUAGCUGUGCAUUUUAAAUGGCUGAGU